This 1432-nucleotide ribosomal RNA is filed under the name Mycobacterium sp. RNAcentral's name for it is "bacterial LSU rRNA". It matches the Rfam family "Bacterial large subunit ribosomal RNA", at positions 1 to 1368 of the family's 2925-position model. Lineage: Bacteria; Bacillati; Actinomycetota; Actinomycetes; Mycobacteriales; Mycobacteriaceae. The record is from RNAcentral.
UUGUAAGUGUCUAAGGGCGCAUGGUGGAUGCCUUGGCAUCGAGAGCCGAUGAAGGACGUGGGAGGCUGCGAUAUGCCUCGGGGAGCUGUCAACCGAGCGUUGAUCCGAGGAUUUCCGAAUGGGGAAACCCAGCACGAGUUAUGUCGUGUUACCCGUGCCUGAAUAUAUAGGGUACGGGAGGUAACGCGGGGAAGUGAAACAUCUCAGUACCCGUAGGAAGAGAAAACAAUUGUGAUUCCGCUAGUAGUGGCGAGCGAACGCGGAAAAGGCUAAACCGCAUGCAUGUGAUACCGGGUAGGGGUUGUGUGUGCGGGGUUGUGGGAAUGAUCUUCUCAGCUCUACCUGGCUGGGAGGCAGUAAAAAAGUGUCGUAGUUAGCGGAAGUGGCCUGGGACGGUCUGCCGCAGACGGUGAGAGCCCGGUACGCGAAAACUCGACACCUGCCUUGAUCAAUCUCCCGAGUAGCAGCGAGCCCGUGGAAUUUGCUGUGAAUCUGCCGGGACCACCCGGUAAGCCUAAAUACUUCUCGAUGACCGAUAGCGGAUUAGUACCGUGAGGGAAUGGUGAAAAGUACCCCGGGAGGGGAGUGAAAGAGUACCUGAAACCGUGCGCCUACAAUCCGUCAGAGCCUCCUCGUGGGGUGAUGGCGUGCCUUUUGAAGAAUGAGCCUGCGAGUCAGGGACAUGUCGCGAGGUUAACCCGUGUGGGGUAGCCGCAGCGAAAGCGAGUCUGAAUAGGGCGUAUCCCCGUAAGGGGUGUAGUGGCAUGUUCUGGACCCGAAGCGGAGUGAUCUACCCAUGGCCAGGGUGAAGCGCGGGUAAGACCGCGUGGAGGCCCGAACCCACUUAGGUUGAAGACUGAGGGGAUGAGCUGUGGGUAGGGGUGAAAGGCCAAUCAAACUCCGUGAUAGCUGGUUCUCCCCGAAAUGCAUUUAGGUGCAGCGUUGCGUGGUUCACCACGGAGGUAGAGCUACUGGAUGGCCGAUGGGCCCUACUAGGUUACUGACGUCAGCCAAACUCCGAAUGCCGUGGUGUCAAGCGUGGCAGUGAGACGGCGGGGGAUAAGCUCCGUACGUCGAAAGGGAAACAGCCCAGAUCGCCGGCUAAGGCCCCAAAGCGUGUGCUAAGUGGAAAAGGAUGUGCAGUCGCAGAGACAACCAGGAGGUUGGCUUAGAAGCAGCCACCCUUGAAAGAGUGCGUAAUAGCUCACUGGUCAAGUGAUUGUGCGCCGAUAAUGUAGCGGGGCUCAAGCACACCGCCGAAGCCGCGGCACAUCUACGUAAGUAGGUGUGGGUAGGGGAGCGUCCCUCAUUCAGCGAAGCCGUCGGGUAACCGUAGGUGGAGGAUGGGGGAGUGAGAAUGCAGGCAUGAGUAGCGAAUAGGCAAGUGAGAACCUUGCCCGCCGAAAGACCAAGGGUUCCUGGGCCAGGCCAG